This 505-nucleotide ribosomal RNA is filed under the name uncultured bacterium. RNAcentral describes it as "partial 16S ribosomal RNA". The stretch from base 20 to 329 matches the Rfam family "Bacterial small subunit ribosomal RNA", at positions 47 to 358 of the family's 1533-position model. The record is from RNAcentral.
GACGAACGCUGGCGGCGUGCUUAACACAUGCCAGUCGAACGGAAAGGCCCUGCUUUUGUGGGGUGCUCGAGUGGCGAACGGGUGAGUAACACGUGAGUAACCUGCCCUUGACUUUGGGAUAACUUCAGGAAACUGGGGCUAAUACCGGAUAGGAGCUCCUGCUGCAUGGUGGGGGUUGGAAAGUUUCGGCGGUUGGGGAUGGACUCGCGGCUUAUCAGCUUGUUGGUGGGGUAGUGGCUUACCAAGGCUUUGACGGGUAGCCGGCCUGAGAGGGUGACCGGCAGGAUGGGGACAGCGGUCCUGCCGGAACUGAGAGGGGGGGCAGAGGGGGAAAGGCGGACACAGGGGGGGAGGGGGAGGUACGGGAGCGAGGCGUGCGGGGUGACGGCCUGGGGGUAGUAAACGGUUUAGGCGGGGAAAAAGAGGUGAGGGAGGGAAGAGAGAAAAGAAGGACCGCAUAACUAGCUGCAAGCGGCCGGGGAAGAAAGAUAGGACGCUUCUAAAC